This 433-nucleotide ribosomal RNA is filed under the name uncultured bacterium. RNAcentral describes it as "partial 16S ribosomal RNA". It matches the Rfam family "Bacterial small subunit ribosomal RNA", at positions 29 to 507 of the family's 1533-position model. The record is from RNAcentral.
AACGAACGCUGGCGGCAUGCCUAACACAUGCAAGUCGAACGAGACCUUCGGGUCUAGUGGCGCACGGGUGCGUAACGCGUGGGAACCUGCCCUUAGGUUCGGAAUAACUCCCCGAAAGGGGUUCUAAUACCGGAUAAUGUCUUCGGACCAAAGAUUUAUCGCCUUUGGAUGGGCCCGCGUUUGAUUAGCUAGUUGGUAGGGUAAAAGCCUACCAAGGCGACGAUCCAUAGCUGGUCUGAGAGGAUGAUCAGCCACACUGGGACUGAGACACGGCCCAGACUCCUACGGGAGGCAGCAGUGGGGAAUAUUGGACAAUGGGCGAAAGCCUGAUCCAGCAAUGCCGCGUGAGUGAUGAAGGCCUUAGGGUUGUAAAGCUCUUUUACCCGGGAUGAUAAUGACAGUACCGGGAGAAUAAGCUCCGGCUAACUCCGUG